UCUACGGGUGGCAGCAGUGAGGAAUAUUGGUCAAUGGCCGAGAGGCUGAACCAGCCAAGUCGCGUGAGGGAAGAAUGUCCUAUGGAUUGUAAACCUCUUUUGUCAGGGAGCAAAGUCACCCACGUGUGGGGGUUGGAGAGUACCUGAAGAAAAAGCAUCGGCUAACUGCGUGCCAGCAGCCGCGGUAAUACGGAGGAUGCGAGCGUUAUCCGGAUUUGUUGGGUUAAAAGUGUGCGUAGGCGGGUUAGUAAGUCAGCGUUAAAAUCGUGGAGCUCAACUCCAUCCAGCCGUUGAAACUGAUGAACUUGAGUGGGCGAGAAGUAUGCGGAAUGCGUGGUGUAGCAGUGAAAUGCGUAGAUAUCACGCAGAACUCCGAUUGCGAAGGCAGCAUACCGGCGCCCGACUGACGCUGAAGCACGAAGGCGUGGGUAUCGAACAGGAUUAGAUACCCGUGUAGUC
This 459-nucleotide ribosomal RNA is filed under the name uncultured bacterium. RNAcentral describes it as "partial 16S ribosomal RNA". It matches the Rfam family "Bacterial small subunit ribosomal RNA", at positions 338 to 795 of the family's 1533-position model. The record is from RNAcentral.